This 433-nucleotide ribosomal RNA is filed under the name uncultured bacterium. Its description in RNAcentral is "partial 16S ribosomal RNA". It matches the Rfam family "Bacterial small subunit ribosomal RNA", at positions 28 to 507 of the family's 1533-position model. The record is from RNAcentral.
AACGAACGCUGGCGGCAUGCCUAACACAUGCAAGUCGAACGAGACCUUCGGGUCUAGUGGCGCACGGGUGCGUAACGCGUGGGAACCUGCCCUUAGGUUCGGAAUAACUCCCCGAAAGGGGUGCUAAUACCGGAUAAUGUCUUCGGACCAAAGAUUUAUCGCCUUUGGAUGGGCCCGCGUUGGAUUAGCUAGUUGGUAGGGUAAAAGCCUACCAAGGCGACGAUCCAUAGCUGGUCUGAGAGGAUGGUCAGCCACGCGGGGACUGAGACACGGCCCAGACUCGUGCGGGAGGCAGCAGUGGGGGAUAGUGGGGGGUGGGCGAAAGCCUGAUGCAGCAAGGCCGCGUGAGUGAUGAAGGCGUUAGGGUUGUAAGGCUCUUUUACGCGGGAUGAUGAUGACGGUAGCGGGAGAGUAAGCGCCGGGUAAGUCCGUG